RNAcentral lists this ribosomal RNA (293 nucleotides) under uncultured bacterium. RNAcentral's name for it is "partial 16S ribosomal RNA". It matches the Rfam family "Bacterial small subunit ribosomal RNA", at positions 334 to 643 of the family's 1533-position model. The record is from RNAcentral.
GGUACCUACGGGACGCAGCAGUGGGGAAUAUUGCACAAUGGGGGAAACCCUGAUGCAGCGACGCCGCGUGAGUGAAGAAGUAUUUCGGUAUGUAAAGCUCUAUCAGCAGGAACGAGACAAGACGGUACCUGACUAAGAAGCCCCGGCUAACUACGUGCCAGCAGCCGCGGUAAUACGUAGGGGGCAAGCGUUAUCCGGAAUCACUGGGUGUAAAGGGAGCGUAGACGGCUGAGCAAGCCUGAAGUGAAAGGCGGGGCCCCAACCCCCGGCCUCCUUUGGGAAUUGAACGGCUG